This is a long non-coding RNA of Balaenoptera acutorostrata (minke whale), 2508 nucleotides long. RefSeq lists it as uncharacterized. The transcript has 4 exons. Lineage: Eukaryota; Metazoa; Chordata; Mammalia; Artiodactyla; Balaenopteridae. The record is from RefSeq and is a predicted model, not a curated record.
CGCCCCGUGCAGCUGCGGGGCUGAACCAAUGCAGGCCCUGGAGAGACGCCUUUCCGUGCGGGCGAAAUGCUUCUGGACGGGACUUCCAGCAUUUUCUCGGCCGUGGUGCUUUUGGGACCCAUGGCUGCAGAAGUGCUUAUGGACCACGCUCAGGGAUGGGUUUGUUUUCCUGCUCACAGACCGUCUGCCGGCACCACUAUCUGUGGCACGUGGAACGUCUCAUCUACAGGAAUGGAGGUCCUCGGGAACAAUGGAGGAACUGCUCAUGAAUGUACAUGGACAAGUGGAUCUGUGCAGCACCAGCGUAGCCAUGGAAGUGCCCUGCUCAGAUAUCCCUUCAAGAGAUCCUGUUGGGGCUGGAGCACAACUGAUUGACAGCCUCCAGGUGCUGUGCUCUUAGAUCCACCAGAAUUUGUUCUAGGUCUCACUUCCCCUGGGAUGUUCCAAUCUAAUGAUAUGCAUCGCAGAGGUGUGAGAACCUUUCCCUUCCUGCCCAAUGGGAUAAUCUUCUAGAGGGUAAAUAUGGCUCCAGCAUCCCCCAUUGUCUUGGUCAAGAAUUUCUCCUAACUGUGCUGAGGUGUGAGGCAUUUUCUACCCAAUCCUUUCUUCUCUCUCUCCCUUCUCAUGUGUUCCACAUGCAUUGAGUUCUGAAAGCUCUGUGUUCCUCUUGUUCCCCUUUAUCCUUUGAAGAUGUGUUGCCCCCACAAAUCUCUUGCAAGUCUCAUCCUGUCGUGGUAUCUUCUCCUUGGGGGACACUUGCACUGAUGUAGCAUGUUAUAUGAUGGUUUUGGACAAAAUAUUAUUUCUAUUUAUAGUGCUUAUACAUACUUUACUACCACCAUAGCAUUUGAAGAAAAAUCCUUUCUUCAUAUUUUUAAAGUACCUGUCCACUUCCACUUGGAAACUGAACAGCAACAGUGGCAAGCUGGCAAUUUUAGAAAGUGAACUUCUAGAUCUAAAAUGUUUUCAUAGAUAAGCCAUCAAUGCUCUUGUUAUCUACUAUUAGCUUUUAAAACAUUUCUGAUUUCCACCAAAAAAAUUUGCAUUUGGAAAUCUACAAUUAGAUUUGCUACCUGCCACCAAUUGCAGCCCUCACUUCACUAUCUGAAAGAGCCCAGAAGAUCUCAUCUCCUUAGUCUAAAUUGAUCUAUUUCUUAAAUGAUUAAUUCAGGAACGCUACUCUCAGAUGAAAGGCACUAUGCUAUAGUUCUGUUGUAUCAAUGCUCUAAAAUCCAAUUUAUGGGUCUACCUCUGAACCUCCAGUAUAUAAGAUUUUCUGCUAUCUCCGUUUCUGAUAGCUUAUUCCUAUAUUCUCUUACUCUCUUCCUUUACAUAGAUUGUUUGACUUGAUUCAACCAAAUAUGUGGUAAUAUCAAAUUAAUCUAACCCUCGGGGUUCUCAGGGAAGCAGACACUGAGAUGGCAAUGGCCACACAUGACAUUAUUUGGAAUGGUAGCUGUGGGAGGCAGAGGAAGUAAAAGAAAUAGAUAAUCUGAACAGAUCAAUACUAGCAAUGAAAUUGAAUCAGUAAUCAAAUACAACAAAUAAAAACGAGGACCAUACAGUGUCACAGGGGAAUUCUACCAAACACCUAGAGAAGAGUUAACACCUAUCCUUCUCAAACUACUUUUAAAAACUGUAAAGGAGGGAACACUUCCAAACUCAUUCUAUGAGGCCAGCAUGACCCUAUACCAAACCAGACAAAGACAUUACAAAACAAAAACAAACAAACAAAAAAAACUACAGGACAAUAUCUCUGAUGAAUAUAGGAACAAAAAUCCUCAACAAAAUAUUAGUAAACCAUAUUCAACACCAUGAUCAACUGGAUUUAUUCCAGAGAUGCAAGGAUGGUUCAAUACCUGUAAGUCAAUCAAUGUGAUACACCACAUUAACAAAAGCUACAGUAAUCAAAACAGUAUAGUACUGGCACAGAAACAGACACAUAGGUCAAUGGAACAGAAUAGAGAACCCAGAAAUAAACUCAUGCACGUAUGGAUAGUUAAUCUACAACAAAGAAUACACAAUGGGAAAAAAGUCUCUUCAAUAAGUGGUGGUGGGAAAACUAGACACUUACAUGUAAAAGAAUGAAUUUAGAACAUUCUCUAAGACCAUAUACAAAAAUAAACUCAAAAUGGAUCAAAGACUUAAAUUUAAGACCAGAGACCAUGAAACCCUUAGAAGAGUUAACCCUGGUGGCGCAGUGGUUAAGACUCCACGCUCCCAAUGCAGGAGGCUCGGGUUUGAUCCCUGGUCAGAGAACUAGAUCCUACAUGCAUGCCUCAACUAAGAGUUCGCAUGCCACAACUAAGGAGCCCAGCUGCCGCAAUUAAGACCCAAUGCAACCAAAUAAAUAAAUAAAUAAAUAUUUGAAAAAAAGAAACCAUCAACAAAAUGAAAAGACAACCUACAGAAUGGGAAAAAUAUUGCAAAUGAUAUGUCCAAUGAGGGGUUAAUAUACAAAAUAUAUAAACAGCUCAUACAACUCAAUAUCAAAAAAACAACCUGAUU